UUUGAGGGUCUUGAUAGUAUAGAACAGAAGUUAGAGGCAGAGGGCAGUGAGGGAGAAGGGAAUGGUGAUGAAGUAAGGGCAGAGGGAGAGGCUGAAAGUGAUGAUGACUCUAGUGUUUAUAGUGAUGAUUUGGGUGAGAGUGAUGAUGAUGAUGAUGAUGAAGUGAAGCAGGGGCAGUUUAUGGGUAGUGUUCAGGAGGG
RNAcentral lists this long non-coding RNA (200 nucleotides) under Salvia miltiorrhiza (redroot sage). Its description in RNAcentral is "long non-coding RNA (SMIL_LNC013845)". Lineage: Eukaryota; Viridiplantae; Streptophyta; Magnoliopsida; Lamiales; Lamiaceae. The record is from RNAcentral.